RNAcentral lists this unclassified non-coding RNA (469 nucleotides) under Hevea brasiliensis (rubber tree). The record is from RNAcentral. Lineage: Eukaryota; Viridiplantae; Streptophyta; Magnoliopsida; Malpighiales; Euphorbiaceae.
UAUGAUUUACCAGUAUUAAUAAUGUGAAAGAUCAUGGGCAAGUACAAGUGCAAAUUCUUCGGUAGGGUAUAAUUUUACUCGAAUAUACAGAAUAUACUCUUCUUAGCAAGAGUUUUUGUUCAGGUUAACAGGCUUCAGAGAAUUCAUCAGCCCUCCUUGUCAGCUUCAGCACAGAAAUGUAUCAUAAAGAAAAAUAAGCUAAGGCAUAAUUCUCAUAAUACCGCAAUUGCUUGUAGUGGUACUAAAGACUUCGCUGGUAACGCGGAUUAGGAAAAGACACCCCAUCACUAUCUCUGAAUAAUGGUUUAUGUACGUUAAAAUCUGUACUUCCAUGGUUUGUUUGACCCCUAGGUGCAACUUGGUGCAUAGAUGAAUCACCUGGAUUGUUGCAAAGCCCAAGUUUCACAAUGAAUGUAGCAUUGGUACCUUUGUCAAGCCCCUCGCUCUCAAUCCAUAUAUGGCCUCCCAU